Molecule: RNA transcript, 2011 nt
Organism: Scophthalmus maximus (turbot)
Lineage: Eukaryota; Metazoa; Chordata; Actinopteri; Pleuronectiformes; Scophthalmidae
Gene: kcnj11
Gene name: potassium inwardly rectifying channel subfamily J member 11
Exons: 2
Source: RefSeq, a predicted model, not a curated record
AUCUGCACAUCUGAAGUGCUCAUGGUGCGUAACAACGGGCCCCCUCUGCUGCGUCCUCACUGAAAAUCACAGGAAGGGCACGAGAGGGCUGAGGGAGGAACCGUCCUCUCACAUUACCGGGCUGUGGUGAAGAACCUGCGCCACGUGGAACUUGACUGUCAACCUCAUUCAUCCCAAGGUGAUGAACAUUUACUUCAGGGGCCCAUUGUGCUGCUGCUGCUGCUGCUGCAGCAUCAAGCUUUUAUUUUUUAUUUAAUCUUUGUUUUUUAAACACAUCGCUGCAUUCCCUUUACGCACCACCGGUGCGCUGCCUGACGGAGCUGCGUGGUCGGUGCGGCGCGGUGAGUGACGGCGGCAGCUGCGGAGCUGGAAGGAGACUCUUCUCAUGGGACCUCGCGGCUGUGAAGCGCCUGAUCUGGAGGCAGCGUGAGGGGGAGCGCGCAUACCUCCAUAGAAAACGGGCGAGACGAGGGGGAUUCUCUUCCUCCUGCGCCCCGACAGCUACAGAGGAGCCGAGGCCGGCGAGCAACCGACUGGACGGCGCGACGAAUUUGUCACCAGCCGGACAGAGACGGUCCGUUCAGAGCCAACGGGGCUGCGGUUGCGUAGCAUGGGAGCGCUAUGUUGUCCAGGAAGGGGCUCAUUCCUGAGGAUUACUUGCUGACGCGCUUGGCCGAGAGCGUCGUGCAGCCCAAGUUCAAGGCGAUCCCGAGGAAAGCUCGGUUCGUCGCCAAGAACGGCACCUGCAAUGUGGCGCACACCAACAUCCGCGAGCAGGGCCGAUUCUUGCAGGACGUGUUCACCACCCUCGUAGAUCAGAAAUGGCUCCACACGCUCAUCAUCUUCACCAUGUCCUUCCUGUGCAGCUGGCUCCUAUUCGGGAUGGUCUGGUGGCUCGUCGCCUUUGCGCACGGCGACCUGGACCAUAGAGGGGACGACUUUGUCCCGUGCGUAACGGACAUCCACUCCUUCUCCUCCGCCUUCCUCUUCUCCAUCGAGGUCCAGGUGACCAUCGGCUUCGGCGGCCGGAUGGUCACGGAGGAGUGCGUGUCCGCCAUCAUCCUCCUGAUCAUACAGAACAUCGUCGGACUCCUCAUCAACGCCAUCAUGCUCGGCUGCAUCUUCAUGAAGACCGCGCAGGCCAACCGGCGCGCCGAGACGCUCAUUUUCAGCAAGCACGCGGUCGUGUGCGUGCGAAACAACAAGCUGUGCUUCAUGAUCCGCAUCGGCGACCUGCGGAAGAGCAUGAUCAUCAGCGCCACCGUGCGGAUGCAGGUGGUCAGGAGAUCCACGACGGAGGAGGGCGAGGUGGUGCCGCUGGACCAGAUCGACAUCCACAUGGACAACCCGGUGGGCACCAACGGCGUCUUCCUGGUGUCGCCCCUCAUCAUCUGCCACGUGAUCGACAAGCACAGCCCCCUGUACGAGCUGUCGGCCUCCGACCUGCAGCACGACGACAUCGAGGUGGUCGUGGUGCUGGAGGGGGUCGUGGAGACCACGGGCAUCACCACGCAGGCGCGCACCUCGUACGUGGCGGAGGAGAUCCUGUGGGGCCAGCGCUUCGUGCCCACGGUGUCCGAGGAGGACGGCAUGUACGCGGUGGACUACUCCAAGUUCGGCAACACCGCGAAGGUGCCCACGCCGAGCUGCAGCGCCAAGAAACUGGACGAGGCGGGCGGCAUCGCCCGGUUCAAGGUGGCCGAGGGCGUCACCUUGCGGCCGUCCGUGAGAAGGCGCCAGGCGUCCGCGGCGGUGGCGCGCAGGUCCAGGAUGGAGAUUUGACGACGACGACGACGACCCAUCAUGUAAACCAGCAUUUUGUAUGAGAAUGAAUCAAGGUCAGUUUGAUGAGCACAAAGUCUGAAUCCACUGAUGUUUGAGAUGUGACUUUACACGACCCGAGGAGAGAGAAGGUCCAGUUUGAAUGUGUUAUACCUUUUUUAAUUUUUAAUUUAUUAUUGGGGCUGUCUGCAUGUAUCUAAAAGCAAUAAAGAAGAAUGCUUCACAUUGA